CUCUAGAUGAACGGACAUCCGAUAAAAUUGAAACGAUACAGAUAAGAUUAACAUGACCCUUGUACAAGAAUAAUACGUACAAAUCGAGAAAUGGAUGUCU
Coffea eugenioides is the source of this 100-nucleotide small nuclear RNA. The record is from RefSeq and is a predicted model, not a curated record. NCBI's taxonomy places the organism in Eukaryota, Viridiplantae, Streptophyta, Magnoliopsida, Gentianales, Rubiaceae.